Molecule: ribosomal RNA, 441 nt
Filed under: uncultured bacterium
Lineage: Bacteria
Description: bacterial SSU rRNA
Rfam family: Bacterial small subunit ribosomal RNA
Source: RNAcentral
AACGCGAAGAACCUUACCCAGGCUAGAAGUGUAGAGCGCGAUAACAGAGAUGUUAUCUCCCGAAAGGGGUUCUAUAUAGGUGCUGCAUGGCUGUCGUCAGCUCGUGCCGUGAGGUGUUUGGUUAAGUCCAGCAACGAGCGCAACCCUUAUUGUCAGUUGCCAACGCGUAAUGGCGGGGACUCUGGCAAGACUGCCUAGGUUAACUAGGAGGAAGGUGAGGAUGACGUCAAGUCCGCAUGGCCUUUAUGUCUGGGGCAACACACGUGCUACAAUGGUCGGUACAAAAGGCUGCGAAGCCGCGAGGCGGAGCAAAUCCGAAAAAGCCGAUCUCAGUUCAGAUUGGAGUCUGCAACUCGACUCCAUGAAGUUGGAAUUGCUAGUAAUGGCGUGUCAGCUACAGCGCCGUGAAUACGUUCCCGGGCCUUGUACACACCGGUACUA